GGUAUUGCCUCAGUAGCGGCGUAUUGUAAGCGGCAAGAGCUCAGAUUUGAAAUCGUGCUUUGCGGCACGAGUUGUAGAUUGCAGGUUGGAGUCUGUGUGGAAGGCGGUGUCCAAGUCCCUUGGUAACAGGGCGCCCAGGAGGGUGAGAGCCCCGUGGGAUGCCGGCGGAAGCAGUGAGGCCCUUCUGACGAGUCGAGUUGUUUGGGAAUGCAGCUCCAAGCGGGUGGUAAAUUCCAUCUAAGGCUAAAUACUGGCGAGAGACCGAUAGCGAACAAGUACUGUGAAGGAAAGAUGAAAAGCACUUUGAAAAGAGAGUGAAACAGCACGUGAAAUUGUUGAAAGGGAAGGGUAUUGCGCCCGACAUGGGGAUUGCGCACCGCUGCCUCUCGUGGGCGGCGCUCUGGGCUUUCCCUGGGCCAGCAUCGGUUCUUGCUGCAGGAGAAGGGGUUCUGGAACGUGGCUCUUCGGAGUGUUAUAGCCAGGGCCAGAUGCUGCGUGCGGGGACCGAGGACUGCGGCCGUGUAGGUCACGGAUGCUGGCAGAACGGCGCAACC
RNAcentral lists this ribosomal RNA (554 nucleotides) under Pichia kudriavzevii. RNAcentral describes it as "eukaryotic LSU rRNA". It matches the Rfam family "Eukaryotic large subunit ribosomal RNA", at positions 71 to 644 of the family's 3401-position model. Lineage: Eukaryota; Fungi; Ascomycota; Pichiomycetes; Pichiales; Pichiaceae. The record is from RNAcentral.